ACUCCUACGGGAGGCAGCAGUGGGGAAUCUUGGACAAUGGGGGCAACCCUGAUCCAGCCAUGCCGCGUGAGUGAUGAAGGCCCUAGGGUCGUAAAGCUCUUUCGCCUGUGAUGAUAAUGACAGUAGCAGGUAAAGAAACCCCGGCUAACUCCGUGCCAGCAGCCGCGGUAAUACGGAGGGGGUUAGCGUUGUUCGGAAUUACUGGGGCGUAAAGCGCACGUAGGCGGACCGAAAAGUUGGGGGUGAAAUCCCGGGGCUCAACCCCGGAACUGCCUCCAAAACUGCCGGUCUAGAGUUCGAGAGAGGUGAGUGGAAUUCCGAGUGUAGAGGUGAAAUUCGUAGAUAUUCGGAGGAACACCAGUGGCGAAGGCGGCUCACUGGCUCGAUACUGACGCUGAGGUGCGAAAGUGUGGGGAGCAAACAGGAUUAGAUACCCUGGUAGCGACUGA
This 449-nucleotide ribosomal RNA is filed under the name uncultured bacterium. Its description in RNAcentral is "bacterial SSU rRNA". It matches the Rfam family "Bacterial small subunit ribosomal RNA", at positions 335 to 799 of the family's 1533-position model. The record is from RNAcentral.